UAAAAGAUAAGCUAAAUAAAGCUAAUAGGUUCAUACCCUAUUUAUGAGUAAAUAUUCUCUCUUUUUA
Molecule: transfer RNA, 67 nt
Filed under: Gastroptychus rogeri
Lineage: Eukaryota; Metazoa; Arthropoda; Malacostraca; Decapoda; Chirostylidae
Description: tRNA-Met
Source: RNAcentral